UACGUAGGUGGCAAGCGUUGUCCGGAAUUAUUGGGCGUAAAGCGCGCGCAGGCGGUCCUUUAAGUCUGAUGUGAAAGCCCACGGCUCAACCGUGGAGGGUCAUUGGAAACUGGGGGACUUGAGUACAGAGGAGAAGAGUGGAAUUCCACGUGUAGCGGUGAAAUGCGUAGAGAUGUGGAGGAACACCAGUGGCGAAGGCGACUCUUUGGUCUGUAACUGACGCUGAGGCGCGAAAGCGUGGGGAGCAAACAGG
This 253-nucleotide ribosomal RNA is filed under the name uncultured bacterium. RNAcentral's name for it is "partial 16S ribosomal RNA". It matches the Rfam family "Bacterial small subunit ribosomal RNA", at positions 524 to 776 of the family's 1533-position model. The record is from RNAcentral.